GACGAACGCUGGCGGCGUGCUUAAUACAUGCAAGUCGAACGGAAAGGCCCUGCUCUUGCGGGGUGCUCGAGUGGCGAACGGGUGAGUAACACGCGAGUAACCUGUCCCUGACUUUGGGAUAACUUCAGGAAACUCCGGCUAAUAUCGGAUAGGAGCUCCUGCUGCAUGGUGGGGGUUGGAAAGUUUCGGCGGUUGGGGAUGGACUCGCGGCUUACCAGCUUGCUGGGCGGGUAGUGGCUUACCAAGGCUUUGACGGGUAGCCGGCCUGAGAGGGGGACCGGCCACAUGGGGACUGAGAUACGGCCCAGACGCCUACGGGAGGCAGCAGUGGGGAAUAUUGCACAAUGGGCGGGAGCCUGAUGCGGCAACGCCGCGUGCGGGAUGACGGCCUUCGGGUGGUGAACCGCUUUCGCCGGUGACGAAGCGUGAGUGACGGUAAUGGGUAAGGAAGCACCGGCUAACUACGUG
This 468-nucleotide ribosomal RNA is filed under the name uncultured bacterium. Its description in RNAcentral is "partial 16S ribosomal RNA". It matches the Rfam family "Bacterial small subunit ribosomal RNA", at positions 28 to 507 of the family's 1533-position model. The record is from RNAcentral.